This 3468-nucleotide long non-coding RNA is filed under the name Lynx pardinus (Iberian lynx). The stretch from base 1988 to 2072 matches the Rfam family "tRNA". The record is from RNAcentral. Lineage: Eukaryota; Metazoa; Chordata; Mammalia; Carnivora; Felidae.
CCGGUUGGCCUUGCUGCUGUCCAGCAGUCCAUGCCCUGGUGGAAUGGAUCUUCCCCGAGGACACACGGUGCUGAGUCUCGACCCACAGCAUGAGGUACCGUAUGACCGUCCCCAAGUCGGUGACUACAGUGGCUCCCUAGCAGGUUCCAUUGAUGCCCUGUCCUGUAUCCCAUUGGCUCACCUGAGUUGACCAGCGUUGCAGGCAGCCUACCACCCCAGCCAACUGCCUCUUUCUCUUUCUCUCUUACUUAGGCACCAAGGGAACUUGCUUGAGCAAAUGCCAGUGCAACCAGGCAGGGUACGUGUGUCUGUGUGCCUGUGUAUAAGUUCGUGCACCAGAGUCACCUUCGGCUGAUGGAGAUGACAGUGAGUGGAUAAACGGCCCAGCCCCCUGUCCUCCAGGUGAUUAUUUCAAGGUGUCUUCUGCACAGUUUCUUAGGGAGCCCAAGUGGGAUUGAACCCAUUGUCCGUGGCCAUCCCAGGUUAUUGACAAACACUGUGUUGACUUUCCUUCCUUCCCUGACUCUCUCUCUCCACUGCCUCCCUUAUUUCCUGGGAUCAGCGCCUUGAUGAACCACUGCAUCCGGCCAGGAUCUGCCUCCAGGGAGACCUGAACUAAGACCAGAGAUGCCUGCAAACCAAGGUGGCCUGAUGUGUCAGCUGAGGCAUUUCCCCAUUGGUGGCCAGAGGCUCGCUGGAACACUUUCUUCCCUCUGAGGAGCCCUUAGUGCCUCCCACCCCACCUCCUACCCCUGCACAUCAUAGACCCAGGCCCCAGCCACCAGAGCGAGACCAGUGACUCAUCUGUGAUUCAUCUGAGCACCCCAGCAUUGGCACGUGUCUGAAGACACCAAGUGGAAGUUAUGUCUUCUGUGCCCUCCUGAUGAGGGGUGAAAGCUGAAGGCGCUGGUCUCUGGCCCAUCCUCUUCCUCUUUUCAUAUGUAGAUGAGUGUCUUCAGAGGCCUGAAUUCCUGUUGUGUGUUAUAAUUUUUUUAAGUUUAUUUAUUUUGAGAGAGAGAGAGACAGAGAGAGAGAAUAUGAGCUAGGGAGGGGCAGAGAGAGCGGGGGACAAAGGAUCUGAAGCAGGUUCCACAUUAUCAGUGCAGAACCCUUUGUGGGGCUCAAUCUUAUGAGCCUCAAGAUCAUGACCUGGGCCGAAAUCGAGAGUCAGACGCUCAACUGACUGAGACACCCAGGCGCCCCUGAGUUCCGGGGUUUUGAAAUGACUGCCAUGGCCCACAUGAAGCGUUUUGAAUCAGAGCUACGCUCAACCCAACUGCCUCUUCCUCAUGCCUAUAUGUCACAGGGUUCAGGUGUCCCAUUACUUGGGAGGGAUUAGCUCAGUGAAAUCUAGAGCUAGAGAGGCCCUUGCAUUUCAACGCGUGCAGAGACAGCCAUUACCUAUGGCUGUGGCUGCUACUCUCCAAGGCCUUUCUCAUGGCCAUUGUUGACCAUGACCCCCCUCUCCGCCAUCUUUCCCUCUGAGUCCAAAUGUGACAUCAUGGUCACACCAGGCAGAGGAUGGGCAGGGCGAGGCCAGGAAGCAAGGCUCAGGACCCUGGGGCGAUCGAGCUGAACAAGACAGCCGAGCCUCCUGCUCUGGAGAAGGUUGCAGACUAACGAGAGUAGAUCAUAACAAAUAUGCAAGAUGAUUUCAGGUAACAGCAGGUUCCGCCAAGAAAAUAAGCCCAUGGUAAUGAAGGAGAUAGGUGAAGGGGGAAAGCUUUAAAGGGCAGGUCAGCUGAGGCUGGCCUGGGCUCGGUGGGUUCCACAUCUGGAAAGGAGGACAGGGAGUCUGGAGGGUGGGAACAAGGGGUCCUGUCAAGAUGUGGUGUCAGGACAGCAGGGCAAGGCGUCUGGGGCCGUGACUGGGGGUUCCACAGCCCCAUGUAAGGACGAGAUGUUACUGCAAGAUUUUCAGUGGGGAUAUGACAUGAUCUCAUUUAUGUUAUUUUCUUUUUUCAUUAAAAAAUUGAGGUAUUAGGGAGCCUGGGUGGCUCAGUCGGUCAAGCACCUGACUUCAGCUCAGGUCAGGAUCUCGCGGUUUACGGGUUCGAGCCCUGGUUCGGGCUCUGUGAGCCCGAGGCUCAGAGUCUGGAGCCUGCUUCAGAUUCUGUGUCUCCCUGUCUCUCUGCCCCUCCCCUGCUCACGCGGUCUCUCUCACUUUCAAAACAUAAAUAAACAUUUAAAAAAAUCGUUUUAGGUCAAGGUAUUAAAUAGAUUUAGGGGGUGCGUUGGUGCACACAUCUUGGGAACGUCUCAGUGAAUUUUCCCACGUGUUCGCCUGUGUUGCACCCACAUCAAAACAUAGGACAGUUCUGGAACCCCAGGAAUUUUCUGUUUCUGAAAGAUCCCUGUGGCCGCUCCGUGGAGAAUGCAGGGCAGGGAGGUGAGUCCAAACAGGGAGACCCGUCAGAGGCGAGUACGGCCAUCCAGGCUUGGAUUAGGGUAGAUGCGGUGGAAAGAGAAAAUGGUGGGUUUGGGAGGCUUUUUGGUCGAAGUGCCAAUAAGAGCUGCUGACAGAAGGACUAGUGUGAGCCAGAGCAACAGAGACAUUGAGAAGACACGUCAGAUCUUUUGGCUUUGACCAUGGCACAUUGUAGGGCGAUGGGGAACAAGGGAAGGAUUGUGCUGGGGAAUGGGGUAGGGCAACGUGGGGCGAUCCCUUUGACCUGGUAAAGUGAGAUGCCAUGGCCACCCUCUGCCUCCCCCAGAUCCCAGAUCAGAGCCCCCCAGAAACGAGUCACUGGAAUGGUGAGAGCUGAUAGCAAGCGUCCCCGACUGGCCUAAGGACAGAGAAGCACCGUCCCCGGCUAGCCCGAGGGCUUCAGGAGAGGUAGGGGGAGGGCGGCUUUGGGCGGACAGCGUUCGCUCUCAGCUGUGUCCCUUGGAAAGCUGGGUCACUGGAAGGAGAGGUGCAGAGCGGGGCGUGACGCUGGCUUCUCACUCAGGAGCCAUCUGCUCACUAAUGCAAACAGCCCCGUCUGUCAGGCCAGGCGAGGAAAAAUGACUGGGGCAGCCCCAUCGCCGAGCCGAGGGAGAGGGGUCUCUGGACCCAUGAGGUAAUCCCUCCGGUGAUGUAUGGCCCAGAGAAGAGCUGGGUUAAUGAUCUUCUGCAGGACCCGGGAGUAAAACACAGUAAUUUCAUAAUACCGCGUGUGAUGGAUUAAGGCGUGUUAAUACCAGGAGUAUACAUUAAGGGAAAUGAUCUUGCUGGCAUGCUAAAUGGCAAAAUAAAAGCACUUUUAGAAACUUCCGUGAUUAAUUGGUCUGCCCUUUUAGUUCCGUACCAUGAUAAAGUAAAGCUCACUUCUCCUGGUCACCUCCCAGGCAAUUCCUCUAAAUCCCCCAGCCCUCCAAGGACCCCCCGGGAGGGCCAGCCUCGGGGGAGAGCCCAGACCUGCAGCCUGGGACGUGCCCCCACGUCGUCUCCCUUUCCUGCUCUUACUUGACCAUUUGAGGUCCCAC